RNAcentral lists this ribosomal RNA (467 nucleotides) under uncultured bacterium. RNAcentral describes it as "partial 16S ribosomal RNA". It matches the Rfam family "Bacterial small subunit ribosomal RNA", at positions 28 to 506 of the family's 1533-position model. The record is from RNAcentral.
GACGAACGCUGGCGGCGUGCUUAACACAUGCAAGUCGAACGGAAAGGCCCUGCUUUUGUGGGGUGCUCGAGUGGCGAACGGGUGAGUAACACGUGAGUAACCUGCCCUUGACUUUGGGAUAACUUCAGGAAACUGGGGCUAAUACCGGAUAGGAGCUCCUGCUGCAUGGUGGGGGUUGGAAAGUUUCGGCGGUUGGGGAUGGACUCGCGGCUUAUCCGCUUGUUGGUGGGGUAGUGGCUUACCAAGGCUUUGACGGGUAGCCGGCCUGAGAGGGUGACCGGCCACAUUGGGCCUGAGAUACGGCCCAGGCUCCUCCGGGGGGCAGCAGUGGGGACUAUUGCACAAUGGGCGGACGCCUGAUGCAGCAACGCCGCGUGCGGGAUGACGGCCUUCGGGUUGUAAACCGCUUUCGCCUGUGACGAAGCGUGAGUGACGGUAAUGGGUAAAGAAGCACCGGCUAACUACGU